UUAGAUACCCCACUAUGCUCAACCGUAAACUUUAAACUACACCGAUAUCGCCCGGGAACUACGAGCAAAGCUUAAAACCCAAAGGACUUGACGGUACCCCACAUCCACCUAGAGGAGCCUGUCCUGUAAUCGACAACCCCCGUUCAACCUCACCAUUUUUAGCCCAUCAGCCUGUAUACCUCCGUCGUCAGCUUACCACGUGAGCGCCCCUAAGUGAGCCUAAUGCCCGUACGCCAACACGUCAGGUCAAGGUGCAGCAAAUAAAAUGGGAAGAGAUGGGCUACACUCUCUAGCAUAGAAAAUACGAAAGACUAUUUAUGAAACCUGGUCAGAAGGCGGAUUUAGUAGUAAAAAGAGACAAGAGCGCUCUUUUUAACACGGCACUGGGGUGUGUACACACCGCCCGUCACCCUCUUCAGAGCUAACAGAAAGUUCUUAACAUACCUAAGCGCAAUAGAAGAGGCAAGUCGUAACAUGGUAAGUAUACCGGAAGGUGUGCUUGGAAA
This 506-nucleotide ribosomal RNA is filed under the name Tepuihyla exophthalma (big-eye slender-legged treefrog). Its description in RNAcentral is "partial 12S ribosomal RNA". It matches the Rfam family "Bacterial small subunit ribosomal RNA", at positions 778 to 1522 of the family's 1533-position model. The record is from RNAcentral. Lineage: Eukaryota; Metazoa; Chordata; Amphibia; Anura; Hylidae.